GAUGAACGCUGGCGGCGUGCCUAACACAUGCAAGUCGAGCGGCAGCGAGGGGUGCUUGCACCCUGUCGGCGAGCGGCGGACGGCUGAGUAACGCGUGGGAACGUGCCCCAAAGUGAGGAAUAACUGCCCGAAAGGGUAGCUAAUACCGCAUAUUAUCUUCGGAUCAAAGGAUUUAUCCGCUUUGGGAGCGGCUCGCGUCGGAUUAGGUAGUUGGUGAGGUAAUGGCUCACCAAGCCGACGAUCCGUAGCUGGUCUGAGAGGAUGACCAGCCAGACUGGAACUGAGACACGGUCCAGGCUCCUACGGGAGGCAGCAGUGAGGAAUCUUCCACAAUGGGCGAAAGCCUGAUGGAGCAACGCCGCGUGCAGGACGAAGGCCUUCGGGUUGUAAACUGCUUUUAUAAGUGAGGAAUAUGACGGUAACUUAUGAAUAAGGAUCGGCUAACUACGUG
RNAcentral lists this ribosomal RNA (451 nucleotides) under uncultured bacterium. RNAcentral describes it as "partial 16S ribosomal RNA". It matches the Rfam family "Bacterial small subunit ribosomal RNA", at positions 28 to 507 of the family's 1533-position model. The record is from RNAcentral.